ACUGCUCAAAGCUUAUACAAUAAUUCUCUUUUCCAGGUGGCUGUCAGCACCUGCAGUGUUGCUGAAACGUCCCCAAAAGAAACUGCCUUUGCCCGAGACAGUAUGAAUCUGCAGUUUUUGGUGACAAGCUUGCAUUGAUUUUGUUUGUGCUGUUCCUCUGUUUUCUGAAUGAGAAGCCAGUAGACAGCACCAGACACACCAAAGAAAAACCUUCCUUGGAGUUCUCUCACAUCAGGACAAAAUCUGCAGGUCUGUAUGUACUGUUUUGCUAUAGAAAAACUAUUUUUCAAGAGCCCCUGGAUGAUAUUUCCAGUCACUUUUUUGCCACAUCAUUUUGUCUCCAGCUGCCAGAAGAAAUUUGAAAUGCAUCGUAGUCACUUCUCAAACUGAUAACAUGUGAGAAGUCCAGAAGAAAUUGUUUAUACAGUUUCUGACAUAGUAUGUCUUGUAAUGCUGCUCUGUGUCAUGUUCCAUAGUUUUAUGUCCUAAUCUGACAUUAUGAGAUUACAUAAUGCAUUCAAUCUUUAAACAAGCAUUCCUUUGAAAUGUUUGACAGAGUUAUGGCACUUCAGAUAUUAUUUCUUAUUAUGGACAGAUAGGUCAAAUCUGCAAACAAUUUAAUGGCCAUACAUUGCUACCCUUGUCAUAUCAAUCCUCCUAGCAAGUGUGCUAUCAGCAGAAGAAACAUUUAGAAGCCUAAUCCUUCAAGGUGCUAAACAUUCUGGUGCUCUGAACUCCAAGCAGAGCUGAGGGCUCUCAGCACCUCACUGGAGAAGGGUUCCAAUUAACCUACUUUUACAGUAAUCCUGAAUGCAGGGGCUUCCUGCACAUGUGUUAGGAUUCAAGCUGCCCUUCAGAUUUGCUCCACUGAAACCUGAGAAGAAGCUAUGCAACCAUGGACUAAAAUGGCUCCAUAUGCUUCUUGACUCCAGUAUGUGCUGAGAAUUUGUUUUUUUCUUUCUCUCAGCUGAGAAUGCUGCUCUCAGUUCUGCAGAGCUUCAGGGAAAUGUGGUAUUCUCGUUAACACUUUAACCCUGGUCCCAAAUAAAUUACCUCAUGCCACCA
Molecule: long non-coding RNA, 1065 nt
Filed under: Cyanistes caeruleus (blue tit)
Lineage: Eukaryota; Metazoa; Chordata; Aves; Passeriformes; Paridae
Description: lncRNA (ENSCCEG00000023534.1)
Source: RNAcentral